UCUGUCCUUCCCACUCGCCCCGCCCGUGGUUCCCCUGGGCCUGGGUCCGCCCGCGACGGCCCCCAAGCUCCCACUGGGGCCUGGAGGACAGAGUUUACCGGAGAGACCCCCUUGUUGGAGAUCUCCCGCUGGAGGACGCGGCCGCGUCACUGAAUUUGCCCGGAAGGGGGAGUAGGAGUUCUCCUGCCUGUCACUCUCAGUCAAGCCUCGUGAAUUUCUCUCGUUCCCUCUACACGCCCCCUCCGCAGUCUCUUCAAAUUGUCAUCCCACCCUGACAGCUGCACUGCAUCAGUGGUGACAGGUCCAGGAACACAGGCAGUGAAAAGAAGAGAUUGGACCUGGAAAAGAAACUUUAUGAACAUAAUCAAUCUGACAUAUGCAGCAGGUAGUGAUCUCAGCUGGUCUUGAACCGCAAACUGGCUCCUGGCUGCAGCUCCAGCCUCAGUUCAGAUCUUCUGUUGUUAGCGAGUGGCUUGCGCAUGCGUGGUUCAGUCCAUCAGAAAGGUUAAGGAGAUGUAACCACCAGCCAUCCUGAAACUGACCAAAUGAGGCACUCAAGGGAGAUGUAACCACCAGCCAUCCUGAAACUGACCAAAUGAGGCACUCAAGGGAGAUGUAACCACCAGCCAUCCUGAAACUGACCAAAUGAGGCACUCAAGGGAGAUGUAACCACCAGCCAUCCUGAAACUGACCAAGCCUCACCACAAGAGCUAUGCCCAUGACCUUUGCUUUAUUUUUAAUGCAAAGAUCUCUCCAGGAGGAGCUUAGGCCUCAUUAUGUGGAAGCAUGUUCUCCAGCUGAGCCUGUGCAAGUGAAUACCCCCACCUCUCCCUUUUGAAUAUUAUUCCCCAACUGAAAUAAAAGUUCCUGCUUCCCUUAGUUCUGGGACGCCAUGACUUUGGAAAUGAUUCCUCACGGCCUCCUAUUUGCUGCAAAUACAGUUUACUUUGUGAGACAAC
Molecule: long non-coding RNA, 959 nt
Organism: Diceros bicornis minor
Lineage: Eukaryota; Metazoa; Chordata; Mammalia; Perissodactyla; Rhinocerotidae
Exons: 4
Source: RefSeq, a predicted model, not a curated record